This 780-nucleotide ribosomal RNA is filed under the name uncultured fungus. RNAcentral describes it as "eukaryotic LSU rRNA". The stretch from base 222 to 375 matches the Rfam family "5.8S ribosomal RNA". The record is from RNAcentral. Lineage: Eukaryota; Fungi.
CAUUAAUGAGUUUUGAUGGGGUUUUGAUGCUGGCAGCCGUCUUUCAGGCUGCAUGUGCUCGCUCUUGACAAAAUCAUCUUCCAAACACCUGUGCACAAUUUUGAGGGGGAGGAUUGUGGGCUUGAUUGCCUUUUGCAUAUUCUUCCCCUCGGAUUUUCAUAUAUUUAUACGCUUGUUAAAAUACUGAACGUGUUUUGCGCCAUAAGGCAUUAAUAAAUUACAACUUUUAACAACGGAUCUCUUGGCUCUCGCGUCGAUGAAGAACGCAGCGAAAUGCGAUAAGUAAUGUGAAUUGCAGAAUUCAGUGAAUCAUCGAAUCUUUGAACGCACCUUGCGCUCCCUGGUAUUCCGGAGAGCACGCCUGUUCGAGUGUCGCGAAAUUUCUCAAGCUUAGAUGGCUUCCUUGCCUGUCUUUGUCUUGGUUAUUGGGCUUUGCCGUGUUCCUUUAUUGGUACGGCUGGCCUUAAAAGUAUUAGCUGACCUUCAUGUAGCACUGGUUCUACUCAGCGUGAUAAUAAUCUGAUCGCCGAGGACAUCUCUUUUUUUUGGGAUGGCCAGUUUUCGUUUGGGUUGCCUUCUAGUCUGGUGGUACAAAUUGCGUGCUCCACUUUUCGGCUUUGACCUCGAAUCAGGUGGGACUACCCGCUGAACUUAAGCAUAUCAAUAAGCGGAGGAAAAGAAACUAACAAGGAUUCCCCUAGCAACGGCGAGUGAAGCGGGAAGAGCUCAAAUUUAAAAUCUGGCAAUCUUUGGUUGUCCGAAUUGUAAUCUAGAGAAGCG